UUGGUCGUUUGGGAUUCUCACCCGUUUCUUGCAAAGGUUGGCUUUCAGGGCCUGACGCCAGAGUUGCUGUCAUUGGCAUCGGACGAUUCCUUUUGAAAAAUCCAAGCUAGAAAAAGCGGAAAUGGAGAAAGGCGGUCGGAGGAAAAACUAGAUGGCGUUGAUGUGCGUCUAUGAUAGCGUGACAAGCUAAAUUGGUGUUUGUUACGUUUCUACCCUGUUAGUGGUUCAAAGAAUUUUUCAUCACAUAUUAACGGUGUCAGCUGCUGAACCAGUGGCCUGCAUUCCUGUUAUCAAUGUUGUCAAUAUUUUUAAGCCCGACUAAGUUAGGGGCACUCACGCCGUUCGCUUCCGGACAUUGACAUUCCUCCUUCAUGUGAAACUAUGGGGUGAGGACCCCUAAAGCUAAGUCAGGUAAAACAAAAAAGUAAAGUAAGUGAAAGAUCACUCUUAAAUAGGAUUGAAUUUUGUAUUUAUGCUAAGGUAACAAGCCGUUUUCUGGUAGAAAUUUUAGGCUGUCUGCUGAAUGUAGAUUGCGUUCUAUUUUAAACAUUCUCUUGGUUAAUAAACUAAAAUUUGUCACCUUUUCACGAUUAUUUGCAUGAUACACUCGAUUGUUGUUUGAAGGUGGAUUGUCACCAGACAUCACUUGAAUGGUACAAUAUGUUUGCGUGUUAUUUCUUUCAGUUCAAUUUUCUGUCAAACAAUGUUUUCAUUCUCCAGGUACACCCACUUUCAGCAGCCUUACAGUGUGCUUCAUAAACACAUCAACCCCUGAGAUAACAUUAUCAUUGGAAAUUGUGUUUUUGUUUUGGUUCUUUUCUCCACUUUAUUAUCCAUAUGCAAUUUUCACACUACUUCAUGGUGGGAUAUUUUAUCAUCCUGGAAAAAUGAUUCUGGAACUUGAUGAUUUCUAAUAUACAGCUGGUAUUCAGUUUUAUUUUUACAUGUACAACAUAGAUCUGCAUUAAUGUUGUUUUGCUUUCCCACAAGCAAGAUGAGAUUUAAUGUUUUUACAUUUCAGAAUGAGCUUCCAAUGUGAAGUUGCGAGUAUUUUAGAUUACGGAUUCCUACUUUGAAAACCAAACUAUUUCCUUCUACAAAUGGAUUUUGAAGUAUCAUGUGCAUGUGGUAUAUAUGUACUGUAUGAUACCUUUGUGAAGCCUUUAAUUGGCAUUAUAUAAAAAAAAUUACCAUGGAAGGAAGUUCUUGCAGGAUCUGUUAUCGACCGUCUAUGUUAUGCAGUAAUUGGAUCUGCAGUUUAGUUAGAAACUGUUACUUAGAAAUGUGCUCAGCAUAGAAUUUAUAUGAAAAAUGAUAUUUGAGUGAAAAAAGAUCCUGGUUGAGACAAGAGAUUUAAAAAAUGAUACUGUUUGGAAGGACGACCGGCAAUUUCAAGAUUCAUUUAUUUCCUUCCACUUUAUAGUAUUUAUUUAUUUUUUUAAAUUGAAUUGCAUAUCUGGGCUCCCUUCUUUUCUGUGGCCCCGUUUCCCCUUGACUCGUAAUAAGCCCGUAGGGGGUCAUGCCCCUACUGUGAUCAGCAGUAAAGGU
Daphnia magna is the source of this 1548-nucleotide long non-coding RNA. RefSeq lists it as uncharacterized. The transcript is spliced from 7 exons. The record is from RefSeq and is a predicted model, not a curated record. NCBI's taxonomy places the organism in Eukaryota, Metazoa, Arthropoda, Branchiopoda, Diplostraca, Daphniidae.